GAUGAACGCUGGCGGUAUGCUUUACACAUGCAAGUCGUACGAGAGUUUUUAACUCAAGUGGCGGACGGGUGAGUAACACGUAAGAAUUUGCCUUUAGGAGGGGGAUAACAACUGGAAACGGUUGCUAAUACCCCAUAUGCUUUCGAGUGAAAUGGAUUUUUCCGCCUAAAGAGAAGCUUGCGGCUGAUUAGCUUGUUGGUGAGGUAAUGGCUCACCAAGGCGACGAUCAGUAUCUGGUUUGAGAGGACGAUCAGACACACUGGAACUGAGAUACGGUCCAGACUCCUACGGGAGGCAGCAGUGGGGAAUUUUCCGCAAUGGGCGAAAGCCUGACGGAGCAAUACCGCGUGAGGGAUGACGGCCUAUGGGUUGUAAACCUCUUUUUCUAGGGAGGAAUAAAUGACGUGUACCUGAAGAAUAAGCAUCGGCUAACUCCGUG
RNAcentral lists this ribosomal RNA (439 nucleotides) under uncultured bacterium. RNAcentral describes it as "bacterial SSU rRNA". It matches the Rfam family "Bacterial small subunit ribosomal RNA", at positions 28 to 507 of the family's 1533-position model. The record is from RNAcentral.